AAUGCUUUACACAUGCAAGUCGAACGGCAGCACGGGGGCAACCCUGGUGGCGAGUGGCGAACGGGUGAGUAAUAUAUCGGAACGUGCCCAGUCGUGGGGGAUAACGUAGCGAAAGUUACGCUAAUACCGCAUACGAUCUACGGAUGAAAGCGGGGGAUCGCAAGACCUCGCGCGAUUGGAGCGGCCGAUAUCAGAUUAGGUAGUUGGUGGGGUAAAGGCUCACCAAGCCAACGAUCUGUAGCUGGUCUGAGAGGACGACCAGCCACACUGGGACUGAGACACGGCCCAGACUCCUACGGGAGGCAGCAGUGGGGAAUUUUGGACAAUGGACGCAAGUCUGAUCCAGCCAUUCCGCGUGCAGGACGAAGGCCUUCGGGUUGUAAACUGCUUUUGUACGGAACGAAAAAGCUCUUACUAAUACUAGGAGUCCAUGACGGUACCGUAAGAAUAAGCACCGGCUAACUACGUGCCAGCAGCCGCGGUAAUACGUAGGGUGCGAGCGUUAAUCGGAAUUACUGGGCGUAAAGCGUGCGCAGGCGGUUAUAUAAGACAGAUGUGAAAUCCCCGGGCUCAACCUGGGAACUGCAUUUGUGACUGUAUAGCUAGAGUGCGGCAGAGGGGGAUGGAAUUCCGCGUGUAGCAGUGAAAUGCGUAGAUAUGCGGAGGGAACACCGAUGGCGGAAGGCA
This 687-nucleotide ribosomal RNA is filed under the name Pseudomonadota bacterium. Its description in RNAcentral is "bacterial SSU rRNA". It matches the Rfam family "Bacterial small subunit ribosomal RNA", at positions 43 to 723 of the family's 1533-position model. Lineage: Bacteria; Pseudomonadati; Pseudomonadota. The record is from RNAcentral.